GACAGCUUGGAGAGGGGUGGAUAUGGGUAAAGACCAGCCCCCACAGCAGACAGCCCCCAAAGACAGACACUGUGGAGCUAAGAACAGCCUGAAGAAAGGGCAUGGGUGUGAGGAGGGGACCCCCUUUGCGUGGCCCAUACCCCCCUUACACCUCACACCAUGAGGGGUGAUGGCACCGCCCCCAACCUCCAGCGCGCUCAAAGGAGCAGCUGCUCUGGUGAUUUCUUCCACACUCCGAGGGGCGGGCCCAUGGGCGGGGCCGUUUUUGUACAAAGCUGUAACAUUGUGGGGACAGCAGGCCACGGUGAUUCAACUUUAUGGACAACCUUUACAAAAACCUUUCUGCCUGUCCCAACGCCUGCCGUCCCUCCACUUUUCUCCCAGGUCCCAGGCCCAGGCGUGGUUUGAAUCAGAAUGCCUCUGCCUCACCCCUGUCUCCCUGUCAAGCCAAGACCAUGAGUAAGGAUAGGCCUGGCUCAAAACUGAAGCUUCCAGGCAGACAGCCCAGACCAGAUGCAAGAAGAAUGCCUCAGUGGCCUCAUGGGUGAAGGACUCAGGGACAUCCUUUCAUCCCAAUCCCCAUGGAACCUGGAACAAGGUCAGUGGGAAGGUCCAUGGAGAUGACCCGUUCUAUAAAGGAAGAAGCCAGAGAUAUCCUGGCUUUCCAUGGAUGCGGUAAUGAGAUCUGGGACGCUGCCCUCCUCUCCAGGCCCACAUCCCUUUGAUGGACCCCCGGAGAGAAUUGAGGGCCUCUGGAUGGCCUCUGGUCACACUCCAUGGCCCCAAAAGUCAAAAGUCAAAAAUGUUGUUUUGCACUAUAUCUAUAAAGCACAGGAGGGGAAUUUUUAUCCCAGAGUCCUCCAGACCCCAGCCAGGGCCCCUCUUCUCUCCAUGCCUCAAAUUCAUUUUUCUCCUUGCCCCAUGUCACUGUGUGAACACUGAAGUCUUCUUCGGAGAAGGCACGAGGCUCACGGUUGUAGGUAAGACAUAUCCCAGGUCUUUCCAGGCCCCUCAUAGGGGAAAGCGGGUCCAAAGUCUCCAUUUUGGAGUGGCCGUAUUCUGAUGUGUUAACUAUGACUAUCACUUUGGCCCAGGAACUAAGCUGACGGUCAUAGAGAACCUGAACCAGGUGACCCUACCCAAGGUGGCUGUGUUUGAACCUUCGGAAGCAGAGAUCUCCCGCACCGAGAAGGCCACGCUCGUGUGCCUGGCCACAGGCUUCUACCCCGACCACGUGGAGCUGAGCUGGUGGGUGAAUGGGAAGGAAGUCCAGACUGGGGUCAGCACGGACCCUCAGCCCUACAGGGAGCAGUCAGAUGAUGAAAACCCCAGCUACUGUCUGAGCAGCCGGCUGAGGGUCUCUGCUGCCUUCUGGCACAACCCCCGCAACCACUUCCGCUGCCAAGUCCAGUUCUUCGGCCUCGAGGAGAACGAUGAGUGGAAAGAGAACCGGACCAAACCUGUCAGUCAGAUGAUGAAAACCCCAGCUACUGUCUGAGCAGCCGGCUGAGGGUCUCUGCUGCCUUCUGGCACAACCCCCGCAACCACUUCCGCUGCCAAGUCCAGUUCUUCGGCCUCGCGGAGAACGAUGAGUGGAAAGAGAACCGGACCAAACCUGUCAGGCAGAACAUCAGUGCUGAGGCCUGGGGCAGAGCAGACUGUGGCCUCAGCUCAGUGUCCUAUCAGCGAGGGGUCCUGUCUGCCACCAUCCUCUAUGAGAUUCUUCUGGGGAAGGCCACCCUGUAUGCUGUACUGGUCAGCGCCCUCGUGCUGAUGGCCAUGGUCAAGAAAAAGGAUUCCUGAGACCAGCUCCAAAAGUGUAUCCUGGGUUGUUCUUAAUCCUUACCCUAGAGUGUCAUUUACGUGCUUCCAAUCUGUGUUCCUAAAGAGUUAUUCUCUGUCUACCUUUUAUCUCCUUUCUGCAUGUCUGUCCCUUCUCUCUGCUUCCCUGAAUCUGAAAUAGACUAAGGUAAUAAAAGUGUCAUGCUGGAUCUGGCCGUGUCUCAGGAGUGUCUAUGGAGUUCUGCCCUUCAAAGACCUACCUUCUGAUUUGGAGAAAGCAACACCCCUCAGGCAUAUGGAGUGACUGACCCACCCUCCUCUCUGAUCAAUGCUACUUCCUCCUGUUCAUCCUGAUGGAGGAUGGACCCCAUGGCUCAUACCCAGGCAUUUGGGAUCCCCAGCAUCUAGUGUUAGUCUGAAGGGCUUUAGGAGCUGGACUCUGGAAAACCUGCAUAAGGAUGAGCACAGGGGAACUACAGCCCCACCCUCAGCUUGGGACAGAGGACAGAGCAGACCUGUGGGGUUAGAAUGCCUGGCCAUUUCUCAAUUCCAGAUUCAAUUUUCAUUUAUUAUGCAUUUAGGUGUUAUCUCUAUCUGUUCUUAACAUCUCCAUCUUAUCUUGAUUUUAGAUUUCAACAUAAGAUUUAGUUCUACUCUGCAUAUCUAGGUUAGAAUCCCAAAGAAGGCACAGAGCUGAUACCACUGAUAUAUGAAGUCUAGAAAUUCCACAGAGGCAGGGCACAUGGGUCAGGCCCGGAGGAGGAAUGGAGAAGGGAACGGUCCAGUGGGGGCUGAGGUGCUACACCAAGUAGCCCUUCCAACAAGAACCUUCACUUGAUGGGAUGGAAAGCAAGCCACCCCAAAUGCAGCAUGUUAAGUGCAUCCACUUGGGCAGAGACAGUUACCUCACUAGAAUAAACUCUACAUGCGGGUUAUAUUCACUGUGGUAGAACACUGCCCUAGGGGAGGCAAGGGAUGCAAUUAGAGGACAUAGGCAUAGACCAGUGAAAAGGCCAUGUGCAAGUUACUUGAGGUUGAAUGUAAGGGGUGAGAAGGAAGUCUGAAAGCUGAGAAAGCGUGGGGAAGAUAGAGUCCCUUAUUGAUAGCCUGCUUUGUUCCAGACUUUAGGCUGGGCACUGGCACACGUGUUGUCCCUGUUAAUCCCCACAAUGAGCCUACAAGUGGGUAUGAUUCUCCCUACUUUAUAGGUGAAGAAACCACAGUUCAUAGAUCAAAUGACUGGCAAGCUGUGAAACUGGCCCAUUCAAGAAGCUUUUUCCAAGUAGUGGUCAGGACGAUGUGACUGUCACGGGGUGACCCUGGAGCAUCUGCUCCCAAACUCUAGCACGGGACCCAUGGUAAAGACUGAAGAGACCUUGAUUCCUGAGUGUAUUUGUUUCCUAGCACUGCAGUAGCAAAGAACUGCAAACUUGAUGGUUUAAACAAUAGAAGUGUAUUCUCUCACAGUUCCAGAGGCCAGAAGUCCAAGAUCAAGGUGUGAACAGGGCCAUACUCCCUUCAAAAGCUCUAGGGGAGAAUCUUUUCUUGCUUCUUCCCAUUCCUGAGCCUCCUGGCAUUCCUUGUCUUGUAGCAGCAUCACUCCAACCUUAUGCCUGUCUUCACAUCACCUUCUGCUCAUGUCUCUGUGGCUCUGAGAAUUUUCCUCUCCUUUUUCUGAUCAAGACACAAGUCAUUGGAUUUAGGAUACACCCUGAAUUCAGAAGGAUUUCAUCCUGAGAAACUUAACAUUCACAUCUGCAAAGAACUUAUUUACAAAUUAGGUCACAUUCUGAGGUUCUAGGUGGGCAUGAAUUUUGAAGGGACAAUAUUCAUCCUACCACACUGAGUAUCCAGGAACCAGACAUGGGGGGUUCUCUAGACCAGCUCACACAGCCAGGAAAGGAUGUGGCCCAGGGCAGGCGUGGCCCAGGAAACUCAUCACAUGCCUGUAACUUCCCAUCAGUUGUAAUUAUCUCUAGACUUCUCAGACUGCAGUAUGGUUUUUUAAGUGUUGUUGUUUAUUUGUUUUUAUGAUGCCGAAAAAAGUCCCAAAUCAAAGAAGACAGCGUUUAGGCCCUAAACCAGCACCCACAGAAGCAGUGCCUCCUCUUUUUUAGACAUGUAUCAUGGCUCCUCCCAAGGCUGGGACGAGGAAAUAAGCAGCUGAAGGGAAAAGCAAAUGCCUCAGAGAGAACAGGGCUUGUGCAGGCCAGAGGGGGUGGACUGGCACAGGGUGUUGGAGGCCAGGGGCUUGCACGAGCAGAGCUGUGAGCAGGGAGCUGACUAGCUGUAGGGCAAAGAUCAAGGUGGAGGUGGGGAGAGGAAGGUUACCCUCACAGAGGGGAAAUGAGAUCUGUGGGCUUGGUGACUGUCACCUUGGGGAUGCUGAAAGUAGAGGCAUUAGCAGGUGGGAGGAUGUGGGAAGACUGCUGGUCGGCACCUGGGGUUGGCCAAGGUGACGAACGAAUGUGGAGGAUAAAUGACUUGGUGCACUUCACUCUCUCACACCAGGAGACAUAAUAGAGAUGGAGAAAGUUACAGACCCCAUUUGGUCCCCACCCAACACCCUACUUGACCUAGGGAGAGUUUCCUUUCCCAAAUUUUUACAGCCAUUUCCUUGUCUCUCUCAGACAAUGCCACCCCCAACAUUCAACUCACAGGCACUGGUAAGUUAAUCUCUUAUGCCUCUGCCUCUUUCUCUAGAAUCUAAGUACAUUCUUUUAGACCAAUUCUCUGGUCAUCCCAUGCAUUUUUCCUCAGGUGAAUGAUAAAAGAUGGGUUAGAUGUGGGGCAAUCAUAUCAUUUACUGUACAACUCGGGACACUAUUGAGAGUGAAAGAUGGGAUGCUAGGAUAAAAAGAGUAAGUCAGGAUUGUCCUGGCAAACCAGGACAUGUGGUCACUCCAGUUAAAAGCGUCCUGAGAAAGCUUCUGGGUCCAGAGUUAUUCCUGGAAUGGGAAAAACCAAAGCAAUUCCUCAUUGACCUGGGCCUAUCAACCUAUUCCAAUCUAAAGGCUUAUCUAAGCUUCACCCUAUUAAGAAAAUCUGUGGGAAGAAUGUGGUCCAGGAGCAAACUCGACUAGUGACACCCAAUCCAGGGGCAAAGCAUGCUUGUUGAUUGAGGAGAAUGUAGAAGCCGGUAUUUCUAGAAGAACACCUGUGGGAUGCCGAGUUCUCACCAUUCCAUGGGGGACAACAGGACUCCCCAUGGGUAGCACUCCAGGAGAGGAACCUCAAACCUGUGCCCUUUAGAGAGUUAUUCUGAAACUAGGAGGGGAAAGGACACAUCCAACCAGUCAUGUAAUAAUGGGAAUGUCCUGGUGGAAGAACAGGAUUCCUGUGGUGAAGGGAAGCUGGAGUCACUGUCACUGGCCCAAGAGAAAUUCUCCUAUCAGCACCAGUAUCCGCUAGAGACCUGAAACCCUUCCUACUGCACAGCUCAUGGCCAGGCUACAGAAGGUUUGGCAGUGGGACUUGGGGAGUAGAGGAGGUUGGGACCAUCCAAGAGACAAAGACUUAUUCUCUCUUAAGUAAGCAACUAAGCAAGAGUAUUGGAGAGAAGAAAGAUAAAAGGAUUUUAGAACAAGAGAGGCUGAGAUAAGAGGAAUGGAUGCUGAUAGAUACUGAUACCUUCAUUUCCUUCCUUGAGCCAUUUCCUCAUUUUUCUUCUUCCAUAGUGACACAGAGAUGGGGAGCCUGACUUGUAUCAGUCCCUAACAGUCUAUGUGACACACAGCCCCAAAUGUCCCACGUGGAGGAGUUCUUGAGGUCGAUCUGCUCAGGGAUAGAUGUGGGAAUGGAGUGUGUUUUUUUUUGUAUGUGUACAAAAAAACACACUCAUACAUAGAUGCAUUGCAUUUAGGGGUGUUAGGAGACGUUGAUGGUGAGCACAGGAAUAAUUCAAAACCCCAGGUCAAUUCCUAGCAUCGACACUGAGCUAUGAAUGAAUCUGUCAUCUGCAACCCCACUGACCUCUUCUUAAACUUUCAUCACCAAUUUCCCUUUUACAUGUCCAUGGAAAUUAGCCUUUGCCUACAUAAGAACACCCACAGUAGAGAAGGCCACAAAGCCUGGGCAACAAUUUUAAUUACAGUUCAUUCCUGUUACUUGUAGCAGACCCACAUAGUUUCUAGAUUUCUGGACCUUGAGACCCAUAAUGUGAGACAUUAUCCACCCUAUGUGGGCCCUGAACACAAAGCAUUCCUCGCCUCAGUCUAAGGUUGCAAAUCCUCUCCUCCCAUCUUGGUGACUUUCUUUUCUUGUGCUGUAUUUGUAGAUCUGGAGUCUCUGGGUUCUUAACACAUCCUACAACUCUGCUGUCCUUAGGAUUUAUUGUGACAGUACUCGGUCAUGACCUGAAUCACCUCCUUCCAACAAACGACAUAUUCUAUGCUCACCACACCCCUCCUCUACAGUCUCAACUACAGGUCUUUCUCUUCCAUCUCCAUUCAUCGUCUUUACAACUCCUAGGAGGGCUUCUUGGGGAAAAUUGGGUCCCAGAGAUGAGUGAAUAGAUCUGUAUGUCAGCAAGAAGACUCUGAAAAUGAGCCCAAAACUGUGACUAUUUCCAUAGAAGUUUCAUCAGCUUGUCUAACUUAUGUCAGCUGUCCUCUGUGAUAUGAGGGAUGGUCUUGACAGGAAGACUGUGUUCCAGGGCUUCCUGUGGACCCAGCCUCCUACCACAACCUGACCAGACUUGCUGACAUAAGGAAGUGCAUUUUAAAAUAGAGACUUGAUGGUGAUACUAGGUGUGACUCCUCUUGGCCAAGUUCUAGGCCACUCCAGCAAUUACAACUCGGCCCUCUUCACCCUCACUCCCACGAUGGGACUUCAUCUUGACCGGAUCUUGGAAUCAUAGACACUUGGGGUGGUAAACAAGCAUAAUUUUCAGAGUCUUGAAUCCUCCUCAGUUAUGUUUGACCUGUCCUGGGACAGAGAAUCCUCGACCUGUCUGGAUAGGCCAUUUCAUCACUGGACAACUCUAUAAAGAAUUUUGUCUUGCAUAGGUAUCCAUAAAUCUCAUUGUAGUGCCCCUCAUUGGUCAUAAUUACACUCCUAUGAGAGCCCUUCCUAAGACAGCUAGCAUGCCCACCUCCAACCAAGAGUCCACAAAUCUAUGAGAGACAGAAUAAGCAGAACCUUUAAAAGCUUGAGUUUGCAGAACGGAAGAAGCAUGCAGUAGAUAGAGGAGAACAUCACAAUAACAAAGAGUAUGGACUUUAAAGCCAAAGAGACAUAGGUUCAAGCCUUACAUCUUCCACUUCUCAGCUGUGUGACCUUGGGCAAGUGACCACCUCUGAGGCUCAGCUUUCCUUCCUAUAAAAUGGGCUCAAUCACAACCCCAACUUCAUAAGGUGGUUUCAUCCUCUUUAAUUCACACAACACUUAAAGCUGUUAUCACAGUACCAAUAAAUGUUAGCUGUUAUUAUAAUUAUUAUUAUUAGCCUAAAGAUUUUUCUUCAGGCCAAACAUUUCCAGUUCUCUCAAUUUUUGUCUCAUAUGGCACAGUGUCGAGCACUUCCUACUCUCCACAGCCAAGCCCUUCUCUUCUGAAACAUUUAUGUUUGUUUUUACUCUUCCACCUUUCCAGAAGUGUGGGGUUCCGAACAGGACGCAGCACCAGUGGGUUCUGACCUACACAGAGCAUGGAGGGAGCUUUACCUCCUUAUUGUCCAUAUCUUCUACGUACUCCAUUGGGGCAACUUCUCACUGUCUGUCCCCACACCGCCCCACUGACUCACACAGCUCACUUUUGACUCAGACCUUGGGUUUUUUCACACACAUCGCCUGUGAACCACAUAUCCCCUGCCUGGUUCAGGCAGUUGGUUUUCUCUCUUUUUGGCGGUGGGGGAGGGUCAUGGAGUACUUGUUUAAUUUUAUCAUAUUUCUUCGGCUCAUCUCUCCAACCUCUCUAAUUUCUGCAGGCUGAUUUCUGAUUCUGAGGCUAACCGUAUUUAUCCCUCCAUCCUCACGCCACCUCUGAUGUCAUCAUUUGCCUUGUUUAUUCUUGUACAAGUGGUUCAUAAAAUUCAGAGCAAGAUCACAGCUCAACGUAAAGCCCACAUUCCCCUAAGCUUGGUCUGAGAUCCAGGAGCUGCUGAAACACAGAGAAUUAGCUUCUGGUCCUCCUCUGUCCCCAGCUGCAUGGCCCUGAACAACUCAUUCUUCUUCUCUGGGCUUCUAUAUCCUCCUCUGUGAAAUGAGGAAGUUGGGUAAAGUGAUGUCUAAGGAAUCUUCAAGCUCUGCUCUUCAGAUUCAGUGAUUCAAAGUCUACAAGCCCCAAAUCACCAGAAGGAGGGAACUCGGGGAAUCUAAGCUCUUCCCAGAAGCAAAUCAUUCAGACCUGUGACAUAGCCUCAGCGGGGGAGUGAUGGUGACCCCGGAAUCUCACAUUUAACAAGAGGCACCUGGAGCCCUGACACCUGCUCCCUGGCCCUCCUUCAGGAAAGAUAUCCAGAGCCAUGAAUGAGGAGAAGAAAAUGGUGUUUCAAGCAGGACGGCCUUGAAUUAAAGGCCAGGAAGUAAAGAGACACAGGUUGGGGUCUUUUAGGAGACAGCUGGGGAAGGGAGGGGGUGUCUGAGCAAAAUGUUGGCUGCCAGGCUGUUUAUCUCUGAGUAACAUCAGCACAAGUAAUAACAGCCACCCACCUGUCCCUAGCACCAGGUCGGGGACUCACAACAGGAUGUGGUUUGACAUUUACCACGUCCUGCAUCUGGGGCGCCUGUGAAAGUCCCUCCCCUACCCAUCUUCUGAGCACCUCAAGAACCACACUCACCACAUCCUGCCACCACCCCUUUGCAUGCUGCUCUUUCUACCUGGGCCUCCAGUGAGCACCCUGGUGGUGGAAAUAGCACUACAGAGGGUGGAGGGGUCUCUAGAGGGCAUCUGGGCUCCACAGCCCCACAAGAAGACCACCUCACCCCCCAAUAUAAUCCUACACCUGCUGGAGGUUACUCCCAAGAUCAGAGGCUUCAUGGGCUCCUUGGAGACAGUGAAGAAUGAAAAACAGCUGCAAUAACUGCUCUGACCCAAUUGAGGUCCCUUCUGGCCCCACAUCACUCAGGCAACUCCCUCCUCCCACCCUCCACACCCUCCCACUUCCCUCCACUCAUCUAAUGAAGGGCCCUAAUGAGUCACAGGAAAGAGAGCCCCAGAUAAUCAACAGACUGAAAAACAGACGGUCCCUGGAUAUGGGAGCCAGUGUGUGUGCCAUACUGACUGGGUUUCUCUAAGCGUCAUCCUCUGUUGCUAAGGCCUGUGAGGUUGUGGGAUGGACACUUUCUAUCCCAUCUGGGUAAGCGGAGGAGGGGGAACAUACGCAGGAGAGAAUGGAAAACUAGGGAGGCAGAACACCCCAAAGCAAGGAGCAGGAAAUAAGAGAAUAGAGAACAGGCCAAGCCUACUUCAUAGCAGCUCAAAAGGCUACAGCACACUCAACCCAGAGCACAUAAUCCCAGUCAAACCAUGAGGCAGCCCAAUUUUUAUGUCACCAGCUUCCCAACCCUGGGCUUUCUCAAGCUAUCUACAGGCUCCAAGUUCUCUCCCUAUAAAUCCCAUGAGUGGCUGAGAUCCAGGUGAGACAUCAAAGGGAGUUCCUCUGGCCACCAGAGGAACUUUCACGUGCCAGUGGCCAGGGAAUGACAUGUAUGGGAAUAGUCAUCCUGGCAUACCUACAAAGUCAGCGCCACAAACGGGGUCCUGGCAGCUCUUCUAGGAAACAGACAACCUCAUCUUCCCAAUGGGGCAAUUGAGAUUGGUGAAUUCCUGGCAAGAGACAGCAUAUCUGAUCAGCAUCUACCAUCCUGAGCCAGUUUCCUUUGUCUCCUGAAAUUACAAAACUGUAGAUUUUUUAGUCCUAGACACUAUGGAAACAGGGGACUAGGACUCUUAUUCAUGAAUAGGGCAGAUAACAUGGAGGAUAUUAACUCUUUAGAUGGCUUUCAAACCUCUCCUUACCUAUUAAUGUCUCCUGUCUCUCUAUUACCCUGUGCAAUGAUCAGGAUUGUUUACUCAGUGCUUUUCUGGAACUUACAAUGUUCACUAAUUCACUAAUUCCAAAUUUCUAUUCAAACUGACUCCUCUGUUGAGAAUGUCAUUUUGUUUAUCUAAAUGCUAGAACCCUAAAAACUACAUCUUGCUAAAAUUCUUUCUCCUUCGUGAAGUUUUCUAGAACCUUUCCAAAUUUUCUACAGGAAUGAAAAGUCUAUUUUAACUCUCCUACCAUCUCCACUUGACUAGUAGUGAUUACCAGAACACCCCUCUGUUAAGAAGGACUCUGAGGCUGCAUAAAACCCCAAAGGAAAAAAUCAAUGACCAAUAACUGAAUGGGCACAACAUAGGGUGCGUUUCAUGGGUUUGCCAUCCAAGUAUAUUCAGCAUUUUAAACUAUUUACUACAUAGUUGAAAAUCUAAUCUUUUAAAAAAAAAGUCUUUCUUUUGGGUAAGUUGUAAUCAAGAUAUCCUGUAAACUUAAAGAGACGAAAAUAAUAUCUUUUGAAAAUUAGACUCUGUAAUACAUUUAUAUGUUUAUAACAAACACCAUCUCAGGUAAAAGACUUAACAGUCCAACAAGAGAAGUUUGACAGAUGAGGAAAAUGAGGCUGAGAGAGAUUAGACAAUUAGCCCAAGGUCAUAACAACUGGUAAAUUUAGUCUCAAAAACUAAGUGCCUUAAAAAUAUAGAGAUAGUAAAAAGAUCAAUGGUCCCCAGCAUUUCGAGGCACAGAGGAGAGAGAUGAUUAGGUGAAGCACAGAUCUGUAGGCAGUGAAACUAUUCUGCAUGACACUGUAACGUGAAUACAAGCCAUGACCUAUUUGUCCAAAAUCAUAGAAAUGUACAACACAGAGUGAAUCUUAGUGUAAACGUAGAUUUUAGUUAAUAGUAAUACACCAAUUGUUGGUUCAUUAAUAGUAACAAACGUACCACACCAACGUAAGAUGUUAAUAAUAGGCAAGACCGGGGGAGGAAAUGGACAUUUAUGAGAGUUUUCUCUAUUAUCUGCUCAAUUUUUGUGUUAAUCUAAAACUGUUCUAAAUAUUCAAGUCUAUUAACUAAAAAUAAUCCGGAAGCACUGUUUCAAGGAGGGAUCUAUUUCUGCUAAAGUUCAAUAAUCAGCUAAUAGCCAGACACUGGCUUGAGAUAUUGUUUACUAUUAAAUGUGAGCCAAACUUAAGCUGUAAAUACCUUUUUACUUCAUAGCACUGCUGAUUGACUUAGUAAAUUAAAAUUUUCACAAAUGGAAAAAAUAACGAACCAAGUGGCUUCCCUAAACCAUACUGUGACUAUGCACAGCACCAUUUUAAUCAUAUUUCGUUUUUCUUUUUAAUCCCUGUGAUGGCUCAGAAUGCCCAGCCCACAAGAACUACUUAAUAUAUAGUUUGCUCCUUAAGGUGCAAUAGGGACCUGUGGGCAUUAUUAAAUACUGUCUUGAUCACUUUGGGUCUCUGUCUCAGAUUUUCUUCUGCAGAUUAAAUGAUACUGAAAAUAAACAUGUGUGAAUUGUCCUAGAUGAAGUGACGCCAGGAACAGAGUAUUUUAAGACUUCUUGUGCCCCCUCGUGGCGCAGAAGAGACUUUAGAAAAGAAAAUCCUUUUAGAAUAAGGAGGACAAGGGAGGGAGGAAGGCUAGAGGGAUGAAGAAGGGAACCAGGUUGCCAAGGCAACCAUGGCAUCUCUUCCCAGCCAUCCCCAUAAGCCUUUUCCUCUCCUUCAUUCUCAUCCAAAUAAUUUCUCUGUUUUGGGUUUUAACAUUACACGCACAUGCCCUCUUCAUCUGGUUUCUUAUAUCUCUUUGAUCACUGUCUGUUUCUCUGCUCUCUCUUUUGCUGCAAGAGAAGGGAUGAGAGACAGUAAAACAGGAAUAAAAAAA
Molecule: long non-coding RNA, 11650 nt
Filed under: Equus caballus (horse)
Lineage: Eukaryota; Metazoa; Chordata; Mammalia; Perissodactyla; Equidae
Description: lncRNA (ENSECAG00000055947.1)
Source: RNAcentral